This is a long non-coding RNA of Fukomys damarensis (Damara mole-rat), 187 nucleotides long. RefSeq lists it as uncharacterized. The record is from RefSeq and is a predicted model, not a curated record. The transcript has 3 exons. NCBI's taxonomy places the organism in Eukaryota, Metazoa, Chordata, Mammalia, Rodentia, Bathyergidae.
GCUGCCUGGCUCGCGACUAGGCUGACUUCAGUGGUGUUCCUUUCAGCGCCUCCCGCGCUGACUUAAGGGCCAGACUGAGAAACGUUAGUGUUUAUUGAUAUACUGCAAGAGAUUGGCAGGAGAAGAGCCUCAAGCCUCUCUGAUAUACACCUAAUUGCCAGUCACUUCCUGAGAUCUUUAGCAGAAG